AGAGUUUGAUCCUGGCUCAGGAUGAACGCUAGCGACAGGCCUAACACAUGCAAGUCGAGGGGUAACAGGGGCUUCGGCCCGCUGACGACCGGCGCGCGGGUGAGUAACGCGUAUGCAACCUGCCUGUAACAGCGGGAUAGCUCCCUGAAAGGGGAAUUAACACCGCAUAAGACCACGCUCUCGCAUGGGGACGGGGUAAAAUAUUUAUAGGUUACAGAUGGGCAUGCGUGACAUUAGUUAGUUGGUGAGGUAACGGCUCACCAAGACUGCGAUGUCUAGGGGUUCUGAGAGGAAGGUCCCCCACACUGGAACUGAGACACGGUCCAGACUCCUACGGGAGGCAGCAGUGAGGAAUAUUGGUCAAUGGACGCAAGUCUGAACCAGCCAUGUCGCGUGCAGGAUGACUGCCCUAUGGGUUGUAAACUGCUUUUAUAUUGGAAGAAUUGCGCUUACGAGUUAAGCGUUUGACGGUACAUUAUGAAUAAGGAUCGGCUAACUCCGUGCCAGCAGCCGCGGUAAUACGGAGGAUCCGAGCGUUAUCCGGAUUUAUUGGGUUUAAAGGGUGCGUAGGCGGAAAUGUAAGUCAGUGGUGAAAUCCUGCAGCUUAACUGUAGAAUAGCCGUUGAAACUGUGUUUCUUGAGUACAUUUGAGGUAGGCGGAAUGUGGUGUGUAGCGGUGAAAUGCAUAGAUAUACCACAGAACACCGAUUGCGAAGGCAGCUUACUAAACUGUCACUGACGCUGAUGCACGAAAGCGUGGGUAUCAAACAGGAUUAGAUACCCUGGUAGUCCACGCUGUAAACGAUGAUUACUGGUUUGUUUGCGAUACACUGCAAGUGACUGAGCGAAAGCAUUAAGUAAUCCACCUGGGGAGUACGUCGGCACGAUGAAACUCAAAGGAAUUGACGG
Molecule: ribosomal RNA, 909 nt
Filed under: uncultured bacterium
Lineage: Bacteria
Description: bacterial SSU rRNA
Rfam family: Bacterial small subunit ribosomal RNA
Source: RNAcentral